UCAAAAAUAGUUUAAUAAAAUAUUAAUUUUGGAGAUUAAAGUUAUUUUAAAUUUAAUUUUUUGAA
This 65-nucleotide transfer RNA is filed under the name Platygaster sp. ZJUH_2016029. RNAcentral's name for it is "tRNA-Pro". The record is from RNAcentral. Lineage: Eukaryota; Metazoa; Arthropoda; Insecta; Hymenoptera; Platygastridae.